RNAcentral lists this ribosomal RNA (454 nucleotides) under Staphylococcus arlettae. RNAcentral describes it as "bacterial SSU rRNA". It matches the Rfam family "Bacterial small subunit ribosomal RNA", at positions 35 to 471 of the family's 1533-position model. Lineage: Bacteria; Bacillati; Bacillota; Bacilli; Caryophanales; Staphylococcaceae. The record is from RNAcentral.
GCUGGCGGCGUGCCUAAUACAUGCAAGUCGAGCGAACAGAUAAGGAGCUUGCUCCUUUGACGUUAGCGGCGGACGGGUGAGUAACACGUGGGUAACCUACCUAUAAGACUGGAAUAACUCCGGGAAACCGGGGCUAAUGCCGGAUAACAUUUAGAACCGCAUGGUUCUAAAGUGAAAGAUGGUUUUGCUAUCACUUAUAGAUGGACCCGCGCCGUAUUAGCUAGUUGGUAAGGUAAUNGCUUACCAAGGCAACGAUACGUAGCCGACCUGAGAGGGUGAUCGGCCACACUGGAACUGAGACACGGUCCAGACUCCUACGGGAGGCAGCAGUAGGGAAUCUUCCGCAAUGGGCGAAAGCCUGACGGAGCAACGCCGCGUGAGUGAUGAAGGGUUUCGGCUCGUAAAACUCUGUUAUUAGGGAAGAACAAACGUGUAAGUAACUGUGCACNUCUUG